UAACGCGUGAGCAAUCUGCCUUUAAGAGGGGGAUAACAGUCGGAAACGGCUGCUAAUACCGCAUAAAGCAUCGAAACCGCAUGAUUUUGAUGCCAAAGGAGCAAUCCGCUUUUAGAUGAGCUCGCGUCUGAUUAGCUGGUUGGCGGGGUAACGGCCCACCAAGGCGACGAUCAGUAGCCGGACUGAGAGGUUGAACGGCCACAUUGGGACUGAGACACGGCCCAG
RNAcentral lists this ribosomal RNA (225 nucleotides) under uncultured bacterium. RNAcentral describes it as "partial 16S ribosomal RNA". It matches the Rfam family "Bacterial small subunit ribosomal RNA", at positions 111 to 334 of the family's 1533-position model. The record is from RNAcentral.